CCCUUAGAUGUUCGGAGCUGCGCGCGCGCUACACUGAAGGAAGCAGCGUGUUAGAUCACCUGACUUGAAAAAGUUGGGUAAUCCGGUGAAUGUCCUUCGUGAUUGGGAUAGGCACUUGUAAUUAUUUGCCUUGAACGAGGAAUACCUAGUAAGUGCGAGUCAUCAGCUUGCGCUGAUUACGUCCCUGCCCUUUGUACACACCGCCCGUCGCACCUACCGAUUGGAUGGUCCGGUGAAGCCUCGGGAUUGUGGUUCUUGCCGCUUUAUUGUGGCGUGACCGCGAGAACUUGUCUAAACCUUAUCAUCUAGAGGGAGGUGAAGUCGUAACA
RNAcentral lists this ribosomal RNA (329 nucleotides) under uncultured eukaryote. RNAcentral's name for it is "partial 18S ribosomal RNA". It matches the Rfam family "Eukaryotic small subunit ribosomal RNA", at positions 1470 to 1796 of the family's 1831-position model. The record is from RNAcentral.